UGCACUCACUACUGUAAAUCGCUCUGGAUAAGAGCGUCUGCUAAAUGACAAAGA
Non-coding RNA from Salmo salar (Atlantic salmon), 54 nucleotides. Lineage: Eukaryota; Metazoa; Chordata; Actinopteri; Salmoniformes; Salmonidae. The record is from Rfam.